AGUCCAAUGGCCCAUGCACACGAUGGAUUGCCUGCUUAACUCAUGGCUAGAACGCCCGCACUGGUCGCCUUGCUCUGUCCUUUCUCCCAGCCCUAGAAUGGGCACCAGAAUACCUCCCACUUGUGGUGAUUCAUUCCUUUCUUUCUUCUUGCCUUCCUUCUGCGCAUGCUCAUUAUGUCCUUGCUGGGUGUGAAGCCCUGAGCAGGACGCAGGGAUGAGCCGCGAUGGAUCGGGUGCCGCUGCCCUCAUGGCCCAACGGCAAAAAUGAGCCCUGGCUCUGGCUUUCAAGAUUCUGGAGAAUAUGGAUACAGAUGUACUUUAUGAGAUGGAAGAUUCCAUUCCACUGAUUAUCGUUGUUAAUGGAGGGCAUUUGUUCCCGAACCCAGACAAGGGGAUAGAGUCUGGAGGAGCGAGUCUGCAAAAGCUGUCACUGAAGGCUCACUGCAGCACUUGGUCCCGGGGAGCCUGGCGCCUCUCCCCACAUCCCUCCCCUGGCAGGACAAUUCUGCAGCCAGGACUUCGGGAAUCGCUUCGGAAGCAUUGUGUAAGAAACCUUUCCACCCCUGCUGAAAUGGCGUUGAUCAAGACCAUCCCUUUGCCUUCGAUCUCACAGCCAGGAAGCAGAAGCACCAGGAUUGAAGAGUUUCCAAGACCAACUGGCAGAUCUAUGCUGGUCCAGUAUGUUGCCAGUGAAGGACAGGGAAGCCUGGCAUGCUGCAAUCUGUGCAUGCGUGCUAAUUCACUUCCAUCGUGUCUGACUCUUUGCAACACUAUGGACCGUAGCCCAUCAGGCUCUUCUGUCCAUGGGAUUCU
This is a long non-coding RNA of Bubalus bubalis (water buffalo), 813 nucleotides long. RefSeq lists it as uncharacterized. NCBI's taxonomy places the organism in Eukaryota, Metazoa, Chordata, Mammalia, Artiodactyla, Bovidae. The record is from RefSeq and is a predicted model, not a curated record. The transcript is spliced from 5 exons.